This is a non-coding RNA of Macaca mulatta (Rhesus monkey), 1507 nucleotides long. NCBI's taxonomy places the organism in Eukaryota, Metazoa, Chordata, Mammalia, Primates, Cercopithecidae. The record is from RefSeq and is a predicted model, not a curated record.
GCCUGGGGUGCAAAGAGGCAAAAUGCAGAGUGGGUUCUGGCAGACGGCCCUUACUGCACCUCGGGCACAGAAGUGCAGACCCUGGCAGUUCGAAGGGUGGCCCCUGUGCACCGAGAAAAUGUGGGCGCAUGAUGUCUGCCGCAGUCGUGUGAGUCCCAUUGUCCAGGGGAGCAACAGAUCCAGAGAGGGGACCUAAGGCACUCAAUGCAUGGAGAAUUAGGGCCAGUGUGGGAACCAAGCUUUUUAUAACCUGGGUGUGCUUAAAGCCAGGGGCACCUGCACCACCAUCUUUUAGCCAGCACCUCCUGACCCCCAUCAGUGCCCUUGGCUCCUACCCCGAGGAGGAGACUUGGGACCAGACUCGGUUUUCUAGACUAUUAGCUGGAGAAGUGCAGCUGCAAGAAGUUGCUCAAGACACUGUCCCUCCAGACCCAGAGGAUGUUGGGUUAGGGGAGGACCUGAAGGAGAAGGUGGUUCAGGCUCAUCACACAGACUGACUGGCUGUCUUCCAGGCCUCAGUCUUAUCAUCUGUCAAAUGGAGACCAUAUCUGUGAUCCCAGCUAUGGUGGCAAAGUUCCCUCCCUGCCAGUGGGCUGUGAGGAUGACUUAUGAUGGCCGUGGAAGACUUGCUCCUGAAUAUACAGACCCCUGUGGAAUGCAGCAAAAAGCCUGUGAAGGUUCCACGUAGAACUGGGUUCGAAUACCACCUAUGCUACUUGGCUACUGUGUGACCUUGGGGAAGUUGCUUAACCUCUCUGAGCUUCAGUUUCCUCACCUGUAAAACGGGACUAAUCACUUAAAUAUGGAAUGACUGUUAUGAGGAUUACAUCAGAAAGCUGGUAUCUCCAAAGGGCUGCAGACAUGCCUCAAAACCUCCUCACCUGCUCCCCUUGGCACUUUCAAACUCUGCUAUGAUUUUGUAGAAAGGAACACUUUCUCUGGGCUUUCCAGACACAACGAACCGGCCUGCUGCUGUGGCCUAUGCUAGAGGCAUCUGGGCAAGAAAGGAUUGACCGUAAUAACUGCCCAGGGCCACCAGGGGGCAUGCUACGCAGGACGGCUCAAGGGCUGUGCAACAUGGGGCGUCUGUCUAGUUGGAACCCCAAGCACGAAGUGACAUUGCAGUGGUGUACCUGGAGCUCUGGACCACGGGGCAGCAGUCAGAAGUCAGUAGGCACUGUCCUAGGCAGACAGACAGGGAAGCAGCACCACCAGCGUCUGCAGUCGUUCACAGAGCGCCCGUGGAGACCCAGGGCCUCCUGCUUCCCUGAGGACGGGCUGAAGCAGAAAUGCAGCCAGUCAGGAGCUCGUCCAGAUUUCUCAGCAGAGAGGGAGGUUUCGAGCACACCUUGCUUCUUCACAGAGUCCCCAGCCUAGGGGGCUUUGAUAGGGUAAAGCCUACCUGCAAUUAGAAUCACGAUUCUGGCCCAGAGUGGGCUAGAGCAGCCCAGCGGGCGCCUCCCCAAGUCGCCUCUCAAGGAUGUUCCUGGCUCUCCAGGCGAUAACC